This 880-nucleotide ribosomal RNA is filed under the name Sulfobacillus thermosulfidooxidans. RNAcentral's name for it is "bacterial SSU rRNA". It matches the Rfam family "Bacterial small subunit ribosomal RNA", at positions 58 to 935 of the family's 1533-position model. Lineage: Bacteria; Bacillati; Bacillota; Clostridia; Eubacteriales; Clostridiales Family XVII. Incertae Sedis. The record is from RNAcentral.
CAAAGUGCGUCAACCAAGGNUAGCGCGUAGAAAUNUCGAAUUCCAGCGGAACCUUACGGGUGCAACGGGGACGGCGUGAGAGAACACGUGAGUGAUCGGGCUGUGAGUGGGGGAUAUCGGGCCGAAAGGCGCGGCAAUCCCGCAUACGUUCCGGGAAACCGGAUGAAAGCUUGGCAACAGGCGCUCACAGGGGAGCUCGCGGCCCAUUAGCUAGUUGGGGGGGUAACGGCCUCCCAAGGCGACGAUGGGUAGCCGGCCUGAGAGGGUGAACGGCCACACUGGGACUGAGACACGGCCCAGACUCCUACGGGAGGCAGCAGUAGGGAAUCUUCCACAAUGGGCGCAAGCCUGAUGGAGCAACGCCGCGUGAGUGAAGACGGCCUUCGGGUUGUAAAGCUCUGUCUGUCGGGACGAAGACCGGCCCGGAAGGGCCGGGGAGCCGGUACCGACGGAGGAAGCCCCUGCAAACUACGUGCCAGCAGCCGCGGUAAGACGUAGGGGGCAAGCCGUUGUCCGGAUUUACUGGGCGUAAAGGGCGUGUAGGCGGUCGAUACGUUAGCGGUUUUAAGCCUCCGGCUCACCCGGAGGAGGNCGGCUAAACGGUCGCGCUAGAGGCAGAAAAGGUGCGUGAAUUCCCUGGGAGCGGUGAAAUGCUAAAGAUUCAGGAAGAAACCCGUGCCGAAGGCGGCCACUGGCCCUGGCCCCUGACGCUGNNGGCCCAAAGCCUGGGGAGCGAACGGGAUUAAAAUACCCCGNUAGCCCCCGAAAACCAUGGGUUCUGUCCCCGGGUUCCACCGGGGGGCCGGAACUUAACCCCCUUAUUACCCCCCUUGGGACCCCCCAAGGUAAAUAAAGUUUUGCGGGGGCCCCCAACUGGAUC